GAUGAACGCUGGCGGCGUGCCUAAUACAUGCAAGUCGAGCGAACGGACGAGAAGCUUGCUUCUCUGAUGUUAGCGGCGGACGGGUGAGUAACACGUGGAUAACCUACCUAUAAGACUGGGAUAACUUCGGGAAACCGGAUCUAAUACCGGAUAAUAUUUUGAACCGCAUGGUUCAAAAGUGAAAGACGGUCUUGCUGUCACUUAUAGAUGGAUCCGCGCUGCAUUAGCUAGUUGGUAAGGUAACGGCUUACCAAGGCAACGAUGCAUAGCCGACCUGAGAGGGUGAUCGGCCACACUGGAACUGAGACACGGUCCAGACUCCUACGGGAGGCAGCAGUAGGGAAUCUUACGCAAUGGGCGAAAGCCUGACGGAGCAACGCCGCGUGAGUGAUGAAGGUCUUCGGAUCGUAAAACUCUGUUAUUAGGGAAGAACAUAUGUGUAAGUAACUGUGCACAUCUUGACGGUACCUAAUCAGAAAGCCACGGCUAACUACGUG
This 497-nucleotide ribosomal RNA is filed under the name uncultured bacterium. RNAcentral describes it as "partial 16S ribosomal RNA". It matches the Rfam family "Bacterial small subunit ribosomal RNA", at positions 28 to 507 of the family's 1533-position model. The record is from RNAcentral.